Non-coding RNA from Paralichthys olivaceus (Japanese flounder), 1444 nucleotides. Lineage: Eukaryota; Metazoa; Chordata; Actinopteri; Pleuronectiformes; Paralichthyidae. The record is from RefSeq and is a predicted model, not a curated record.
GUCUGUUAGCUAGCAGGACAAAGCAAAAACUACACGAUGGACAACUCUCACUGUCCACAAGCCAAGACGCAAAGAAUCCUAGUUUUAAAUAAAAACGCGAGACUAGUGUCUAUUACAGACACAAAGACUCUGGACAUAAAUGCACUUUGCUGUCAUGACACUGUUUUAACAUGUAACAUCCCCCAAAGCUCAAGAUAAAGUUAAUGCGUAUCAUCCUUCAUUUCCUGUUUUACUUUGAAAUUAAGUUACUAAAACUUCCUGUCCUUUAAACUUCGCGGAUUCACCUGCGCCCGCCCCUGCGCUUCCUGACCGGAAACCCCGUCACCGGGGCCUGAAACGUCACAAAGUUGCUUGAUGAGUGUUUGAGUGUGCUCACACGUCACGUCACGUUAGCUUCAUGAUGCUAACACCCUUAACUCAGCGAGUUUAAGAAGUUUUAUUGAAGUGGCUGCUGGAGGGACUCAACGCCUGACGUCACUAAGAUCCAGGCUCCAGUGGACGAGAGGAUGAUGCAGAAACUACCAAAUGGAUUUCAGCAAACCUUGGUGGAAGGAUGGGACCCAUUCAACUUUGAAAGGAUCUGGGUAAAGGACCACAGGACGUGUGAGGCAUGAGAAAAGAGGUCGGAUAGCCCCUUUCUGUGUAGCGCACUCCCUCUACCCGCCACCCGGGCUUCAUUAGCAGCUGUCUGUCAGCUAUAGGCCCCUUACACCGCUGGAUGGUUGCCUGGCAACUGGGACCCUGCUCGGCCAAUCGGGACCAGAUGCAACAGGAGUUCUGUUCUCGGCGCACGCAAGAUGGAGAAUUCUUCGCCAGUGGAACCGAUUUGGUUUUAGUAUCAUUCACUUCAAGGGCAGAGCAGACAUGGGGUCCUGCCAUGGAGCGAGGGGAGGCAGCUUGGCAUAUGUAUUGUUAAAGGCCCAGAGAAGUGCAGUGUUGAAUUUGGUUACUGAACUUUGGAUAAACAGCUCUUUGUGCAGGGUCACUUUCACAGUUUCAGGACUGAAAAGCUGCAGCUUGCAUCACCACAGACUAAAAAAACAGCCCAUUUACAACCGGAUCUGCCUAAGUGAAUAAAUAAGCACUUAAAAGUCCUUGAACAUUUGCUGUGAAGAGGAAAAUAAAAAAGGUAUUUUAGAAAUGUGGGAGGAUCGGGUAAAAACUCAACAGUCUCUUAGCAACAUCAGUGCAGGUAGACCUUAAAAAAAAAAAAGAAGAUCCAUGCGUCUGCUCUGUGUGUAAUUCUAACAUCAUGUAUCACCCUGGGAAAACAUCCACUGUGCUCAAGAGCAGCAUGAUGGAGAGGAACAACACGACAAAGAGCAGAAUAUGUUUGGUUCAAUGAACUGAGAGGAUAAGAAAACCUCAUAAGAAAGAGAGAAAUGUGUCUCGAUAUUGCUCCUUUGAACAGUGAUGCAGAGUUCGAGUCCUACAACAGAAGAUA